UAAGUUUUUAGUUUAAAGAAAAUAUUUUAUUUACAAUAAAAAGAUAAUCUUGGGGUAGAUUAGAACUU
This 68-nucleotide transfer RNA is filed under the name Leptomyrmex pallens. RNAcentral describes it as "tRNA-Val". Lineage: Eukaryota; Metazoa; Arthropoda; Insecta; Hymenoptera; Formicidae. The record is from RNAcentral.